This 496-nucleotide ribosomal RNA is filed under the name uncultured bacterium. Its description in RNAcentral is "partial 16S ribosomal RNA". It matches the Rfam family "Bacterial small subunit ribosomal RNA", at positions 28 to 506 of the family's 1533-position model. The record is from RNAcentral.
GAUGAACGCUGGCGGCGUGCCUAAUACAUGCAAGUCGAGCGAACAGACGAGGAGCUUGCUCCUCUGACGUUAGCGGCGGACGGGUGAGUAACACGUGGAUAACCUACCUAUAAGACUGGGAUAACUUCGGGAAACCGGAGCUAAUACCGGAUAAUAUAUUGAACCGCAUGGUUCAAUAGUGAAAGACGGUUUUGCUGUCACUUAUAGAUGGAUCCGCGCCGCAUUAGCUAGUUGGUAAGGUAACGGCUUACCAAGGCGACGAUGCGUAGCCGACCUGAGAGGGUGAUCGGCCACACUGGAACUGAGACACGGUCCAGACUCCUACGGGAGGCAGCAGUAGGGAAUCUUCCGCAAUGGGCGAAAGCCUGACGGAGCAACGCCGCGUGAGUGAUGAAGGUCUUCGGAUCGUAAAACUCUGUUAUUGGGGAAGAACAAAUGUGUAAGUAACUAUGCACGUCUUGACGGUACCUAAGCAGAAAGCCACGGCUAACUACGU